Molecule: non-coding RNA, 91 nt
Organism: Prevotella sp. CAG:279
Lineage: Bacteria; Pseudomonadati; Bacteroidota; Bacteroidia; Bacteroidales; Prevotellaceae
Source: Rfam
UUGCCUUUACGAAAGUCAUGGAGUAAAGCUUGCUGUGAGAAGUCAGCAGAUGCCAUAGUAGUGGAGUUCUCGAUAACGCUCCAUGAAGGGC